CAUUGCUUCCAGAAUAAGAUUGAGAGGUACGACCUGCCCGGUGACUUUAGGGUUAAACGGCUGCAGUACUCUGACUGUGCAAAGGUAGCAUAAUCAUUUGCCUAGUAAUUUUAGGCUAGAAUCAACGGUUAGACGAAGGAUGAGCUGUCUCCUUUUAAUUUAGCUGAAGUUAGCUUUGGAGUGAAGAGACUUUAAUAAGUGAGUGGGACGAGAAGACCCUAUUGAGCUUUAACUUAGUUAAAAAUAAAGUUUUAAUAAAGUUUGGAUUGGGGCAAUUCUUUUUAUAAUAAAACAAAAGUUAAGUAUAAUGAAUUUAUACUAUAAGACCCUGAAUUUAUCGGAAACAAGAAAAAGUUACCAUAGGGAUAACAGCGUUAUUUUUCUUGAGAGUACAUAUUGACAGAAAAGUUUGCGACCUCGAUGUUGGAUUAAGAUAACCUGGAUGUGCAGCAGCCUCCAAUGGUUGGUUUGUUCAACCAUUAAAAUCUUACGUGAU
RNAcentral lists this ribosomal RNA (496 nucleotides) under Ophioplinthaca defensor. RNAcentral's name for it is "partial large subunit ribosomal RNA". It matches the Rfam family "Bacterial large subunit ribosomal RNA", at positions 1824 to 2604 of the family's 2925-position model. Lineage: Eukaryota; Metazoa; Echinodermata; Ophiuroidea; Amphilepidida; Ophiacanthidae. The record is from RNAcentral.